Molecule: RNA transcript, 5816 nt
Organism: Chroicocephalus ridibundus (black-headed gull)
Lineage: Eukaryota; Metazoa; Chordata; Aves; Charadriiformes; Laridae
Gene: DHX34
Gene name: DExH-box helicase 34
Exons: 18
Source: RefSeq, a predicted model, not a curated record
UCUGGCGCCCCCUGGCGGCCGCUCGCCUUCGCCGCCGGCGGGUGAGCGGGGCCCGGCCGGGCCGGGGCGGCGGGAGCGGGUCCGACCUCGGGGCGGCGUCGGCCAGAGGGGCCGGAGAAGGGCCGGGGCCGGAUCCCGCAGCUGCCGAAGCGGCGUCGGCGAUGCCGCGGGAGAAGGAGAGCGGAUGCCGGCGACGAGGAGAGCGGGACCGUUCCCCUUCCCGGUGGGAGGGGGACUGGGACUGGGACUGUCCCGCCACGCGCCGCCGCCUGCAAGAGCUCUAUUUCCCCGAGCGGGAUUCCAGCGGCGCCGGCUCCGAAGAGAUCCUGAAUUUCUGGGCUUUUUUCGAGCGUCUCCGGCGUUUCCAAAGCCGCAGAACCCACCCCGCGCCGCCACCCGGCCACCGCCACGCGGCAGAGCCCCCCGCCGCCACCGCCGCCCGCCUCGACCUGCCCCCCGCCUACGACCCCCGUUACCGCAUCAACCUCGCGCUGCCGAGCGCCGCCGCCGUCCCCACCCGGAAUUCCGACCUACCCCGGGAACGCCUCGCCGAAUUCCGCGCCGCCGUCUUACACUACCUGGAUUUCACCCAAAAACAAAGCUUCGCCAAACUGGCCAAACUCCACCGGGAACGAGCCGCCCUUCCCAUCGCCCAGUACCGGCAGCGUUUACUGGACGCCGUGGCCGGCAACCAAGUGGUGGUGGUGGCCGGCGACACCGGCUGCGGGAAAUCCACGCAGGUGCCGCAGUACCUGCUGGCGGCCGGUUACAGCCACGUGGCUUGUAGCCAACCCCGCCGAAUCGCCUGCGUCUCGCUGGCCAAGCGGGUGGCCUUCGAGAGCCUGCACCAGUACGGGGACCAGGUGGGCUACCAGAUCCGCUUCGAGAGCACCCGCUCGCCCGCCACCAAGAUCGUCUUCCUGACGGAGGGGCUGCUGCUGCGGCAGGUGCAGCGGGAGCCGGCGCUGCCGGGGUACCACGUCCUCAUCGCCGACGAGGUUCACGAGCGGCACCUCCACAGCGAUUUCCUCCUGGGCGUCCUGCGUCGCCUCCUGCCCUCCCGCCCCGACCUGAAGCUGGUCUUGAUGUCGGCCACCAUCAACAUCCGCCUUUUUUCGGGUUAUUUCGGGGGGGCCCCGGUGCUGCAGGUGCCGGGAAGGAUUUUCCCCAUCUCGGUCAUCUACCAACCCAUCCCUAAGGAAGAAGCAUCCCCAGCGGGAAAAUGGGGGAAAUCGGAGCGUCUGGAUCCCCUCCCGUACCUGCGGGUGCUUCAAGCCAUCGACCACAAGUACCCGCCGGAGGAGCGCGGGGACCUGCUGGUGUUCCUGAGCGGGGUGGCCGAGAUCGGGGCGGUGCUGGAGGCGGCGCAGGCUUACGCCGCCCGCACCCAGCGCUGGAUCGUCCUCCCCCUGCACAGCACCCUCUCCGUGGCCCAGCAGGACAAGGUGUUUGACGUCCCCCCGCCCGGCGUCCGUAAGUGCAUCCUCUCCACCAACAUCGCCGAGACUUCGGUGACCAUCGACGGCGUGCGCUUUGUGCUGGAUUCCGGGAAGGUGAAGGAGAUGAGUUACGACCCUCAGGGCAAACUCCAGCGGCUGCAGGAGUUUUGGAUCAGCCGGGCAAGCGCCGAGCAGCGGAAAGGACGCGCGGGCAGGACCGGCCCCGGCGUCUGCUACCGCCUUUACGCCGAAUCCGACUACGACGCCUUUUCUCCUUACCCCGUGCCGGAGAUCCAGCGGGUAGCGCUUGACGCUCUGGUGCUCCAGUUAAAGAGUAUGGGGCUGGGCGACCCUCGGACCUUCCCCUUCCUGGAGCCCCCUCCCUCGUCCAGCCUGGAGACGGCCGUGCGGUACCUGAGGGACCAGGGAGCCCUGGACGAAGCUGAAGACCUGACGCCCAUCGGGAACCUCUUGGCCCAGCUGCCGGUGGACGUGGUGGUCGGUAAGAUGCUGGUCCUGGGCGCUCUCUUCGGCCUGGCCGAGCCCACCCUGACGGUGGCGGCGGCGCUGAGCGUGCAGUCCCCCUUCCUGCGAUCCGCUCACCCCAAUCCCGACUGCGCCACGGCCCGGCGGCCCCUCGAGAGCCCCCACGGCGACCCCCUGACGCUGCUCAACGUCUUCAACGAGUGGGUCCAGGUGAAGUCGGAGCGGAGCGGCAGCUCUCGGAAAUGGUGCCGGCGGCGAGGUUUGGAGGAACAUCGGCUUUACGAAGCCGCCAACCUGCGGCGCCAGUUUCAGGAGCUCCUCCGUGACCACCAGCUGCUGGAGGAAGGCUCCAGCCAGCCCAGCGACAGCUACAGCCGGCAGAGCCGGCACCGGGAACGCCGGGAGCUGCACCGCCUCUGGCGUUCCCACGCGGAGACGGAAGGUCGGAAGCGCAAGGUGCUGCGGCUGCAGGACGGAGCGGACGCCUCCUCCGGCGAGGAGGAGGAGGGUGGUGGGAACCGUGAGAAAGGGGAGCGCAGCAUCGAUAUCCAGGACGUCAAGUUUAAGCUGCGUCACAACGUGGAGGAGCUCCAGGCCGUAUCCAGCUCGGUCCUCUCCUCCUCGCAGCUCGCCCUGCUCAAACUGGUGCUGUGCCGGGGGCUUUACCCCCAGCUGGCCGUGCCCGACCAGCUCAACAGCGGCCGUAAGGAUUCCGAUCAGAUUUUUCACACCAAAACCAAGCAGGGGGUCGUCCUUCAUCCCACCUGCGUCUUCGCUACCAGCCCGGAGCUGCUCCACGCCAAGGAGGGACCGGAGCGCGGUGGGACCAAAGACCCCGCGGAGGGGCUGAGCCACCGCCACCAGCUCCUCGCCUUUGUCUCGCUGCUGGAGACCAACAAGCCCUACCUGGUGAACUGCGUCCGGGUGCCAGCCCUGCAGGUGAGCUCUCUGCUCCCCUCCUCUUCCUCUCCGCGAGCCUUCGUCACCCCACACUGGUCGUGUUUUGCUCCUCCAGGCUCUCCUCCUCUUCUCCCGGUCGCUGGACACCAGCGCCGACUGCGCCCGGCUGGUGGCCGACGGGUGGCUGGAGGUCACCGUCCCCGACGCGGACUCUGCCCUGCGCCUGCUCUCCGCGGCCCUGCAGCUUCGUUCCGCUUGGGAAAAACUCCUCCAUCAACUGCUGGAAGGUCGAGGAGAGGAAUCGAGCCUCCGGCCGAGCUCCCGGGACGUAUCCGCGCUCACCCGGGGGCUGCUGGACUUCCUGCAGAUGAAGGUGCCGUAUCGCCUGCGCCAGCUCACCGGCCUGGAGAAACAGAACCUCUACGUCGGUCCCCAGACGGUGGCCGCCGCUCCCCGCCUCCCGGGGCUCUUCCAGGGGACGGAGAUGAAGCCCGACGAGGUGAAAGGCGGCCACAGGGUGACCGAUUUCCUCACCUACAACUGCUUGGCCACGGACACGGACCUCUACAGCGACUGCCUGCGGAGCUUCUGGACCUGUCCCCACUGCGACCUCCACAUGCCCUUCACCCCCCUGGAGCGCAUGUGUCACGAAAGCGCUUGCCGGCCCCCCGAGGCCCCCCCGGAAGAACCAUUGGAAAACUCUUCCAAAAUCUCCGCCCUGCACCGCUCCUACCACUGCGACCUUUGCCAGCGGGAUUUUACCUUCACCCCCACGGAAAUCCUCCGGCACAAGAAACAGCACCAAUAACCGGGGCUCGUCGGGAUGCUCCCGCCGGCCGGUGCCGAGCACCGCGAUGCCGGGAUCCUCCCCCAUCCCUCGGGGACCCCCGUAACUGGGGGGGAUCCCCCCGCCCCCCCCCCCCAAACUACCUCCGCUGCUUUUGGGUGAGUCUGGCUGGAUGCCCGAAAGGGAUUUGGUGUUUUGGGGGGGGCCGCUAGCGGCUCCUCAGUCGUCCUCGGGUGACGGCAACCUAAUUCCAGGACUUUUUUUAAUCUUAAAUAAAUAGAUUUUUGGAGAAUAACGGCGGGGGGGGGAGGUGUCUCUUGGAGGUCUCCUGCCUGGCGCAGCGCGGCCAGUGUGUGGCACUCCUCUACCGGCGUCAUCCCUUCCUCCUCUUUUCCUGCUCCAUCCCAUGGGAAAAGCGUCGGAGGGGCUCGUGCCUGGACUUUCCCACCGCCACGACUCCCCCCCCGCCGCGGCCGAAACCCCCCAAUAUUAACAAAACGUGACCUCAGCGUCCCUUUGGAGGACGCUCGCGCCCAACGCGGCGAGAAGCCGCCGCCUGGACGCUGCUGCGAGACGAGAGGUUGCCUUACGAUUCGUGGCUGGCUCCAGGGCGGGUUUUUUUGGGGCGGAAAACACCUGGGAAAAGGCAAAUUGCGGGCUGGCUUGCGCCCGCCUGCGCCAGGCAAAUGCUGCGACGACGGCAACUUCUCGGCUGUCUAAACUCAUUGAAAACGCAUUAAUUAUCAGGCCGUGCGCUGCGUCGGGGAUGCCAACGGCCGUUGGGUCCCCGAUUCCCGUGCCACGAGGGACUUCACCUUCUCCACCUGAUCCCGUUAAAUGCCACCCGCGACCAGCCCGGACCCGCUCCUCAGGUUUUCCGUUCGUCAAACCCAACGUUCUCACCCUCUUAAAACAAGAAGAACCCAAUGGCCCUCGGCAAAUAAUCGUUAAGGGCUCAUAAAGCGCAAAGCGGCUCUUGACCUGAAGAAAACACGUUAUCGCUUCGCCUUUAGCGCCACGGUGAGGCCGCCUUGCUUUUAAACGAAGCUUCGAGCGAGCCGUUUACAGAAUAGAAAAUUAAAUAAGGCCGCCCGCCGUGGCCACGGAGGAGUGGGAUUAAUUUACUUCGCUAACGAAAGCCACGAAUUCAAGUCUUGGAGAAAGCCAGACCAAGGGCAAGGCGCUAAUCCUCGUAAUUUCACCGUGUGGCACCUACGCCGAGGCCGAUAACGCCGCGAUCCCACCCUGAUGGGCACCGACGCCUUUCUCCCCUCUGGUUUUUUUUUUGACCUUUUAAUGACCGAAAUCAUUUUUCCUUCUGGAUAAAAGUUGUUUUAUGGAGCUCCCGGCGCCCAAACGGGGACGUUUUGUCUCUUUGCGCUCAACCGGGACAUCCCCAUCCUGCCCGUGAAGCUCCUUGGAAGGUUGUUUCGGAGCGUCCACCUCAAGCCAAGCUCCGUCCUCAGGUGGGAAAAGUCCCGUCAUCGCCCAUCUCAUGGCAGCCUGUUCCAACGGCUAAUUAACCCGCCAGCUAAUUACCCGCGGGUUUCUUUUCUCGGCUGAAUUCCUGAGCUUUGAUUCCCGCCAACCGGCAUUGUCUUUGCUGGGUAAGACGGAGACGGAGAGGGCCGUUUCUUGGGGAGCCAACGACCCCCACGUCAAACCGUCUCGUAAUUAGCGGCGGACGAAGCCUGACGAGCCCGGAAAAAAAAAAAAGAAAGCUUAGAGCUUCAGUGAAAAUAAAUAAAUAAUAAUUAAAAAAAAAUCGUUAAGAAGCAGAUGAGAUUUUUUUCCCUUCGCAAACGAACGCUUCGUCCCAGCGACGGCGAGUAGAGAGCGGUUUUUUUUUUUUUUUUUUGUUUAUUCGUUUUUAUUUUGUUUAUUCGCAAUUGCCCGGCCGCCCUCUUCGCCCCUGCGGAACGACCGCGUUUAUUCUUCGCGAUGGUUGGUUUUUGGUUUUAUUGUUGUUUUUUUCCCCCGCAGGCGGAGGCGAGCCCGUUGGCCGCUCAUUGAAACCCACCGCCCGUCGUUUGGGGAAUAAUUAGAUUAAUUUUUCGAGAGGUCGAGCAGGAGUGGGGGGCGCGGCGGGGUCGGUGUCUAUUAAAAAUGAGUUUGGAGAAGGUAGAAGGAUGCUCUCCCGGCGUGCGGCUUCAGCUCCAUCCCAGCGAACCUCAUCCCAUCCCCUUCGUUCCUGGGCACCUUUC